UCAAUUUAUCAGAUAUCUCAACUUCUAUCUUCCAAAGAUCGGUCAUUCCAUUGGUGAUGGACUGGUCAAUUGAGAAUCAGAUGUGAUGUAGCGAAACAAAAUACUUCAUCUUAUGCAUGUGGUCCAAAUAGUGAUUGGAAAAAUUCUACCGAUGGCCCUGGCUAUCUGUGUUACUACAAGGAUGGUUUUGAAGGAACCCAUGUGUCCUCAAGUGGGAUGCCAAGACAUAAAUGAAUGUGAAAAAUGAUACAAUAAUCCCUGUUAUGGGAAAGCUAUUUGCAAUAAUAUUGUGGGAAGUUACAGCUUCUAUUGUCCAGAAGACUACCGUGGUGACAGUUUGGCAAACGGGACUCGCUGUAAUCGGGACCAGAUAGGAACUCCAUUGGUAGGACUUGUUGCAUGUAAUUUUCUUUCUAAUAAUAAAAUUUCUAAUUUCUUU
Macadamia integrifolia is the source of this 439-nucleotide long non-coding RNA. RefSeq lists it as uncharacterized. The record is from RefSeq and is a predicted model, not a curated record. The transcript is spliced from 2 exons. NCBI's taxonomy places the organism in Eukaryota, Viridiplantae, Streptophyta, Magnoliopsida, Proteales, Proteaceae.